RNA transcript from Mercurialis annua (annual mercury), 2234 nucleotides. It is a transcript of the gene named transcription factor GTE6, with no coding region annotated. NCBI's taxonomy places the organism in Eukaryota, Viridiplantae, Streptophyta, Magnoliopsida, Malpighiales, Euphorbiaceae. The record is from RefSeq and is a predicted model, not a curated record. The transcript has 9 exons.
UGCGUUCACCCAGUCGACAGAGAAUGAGAGAACCACUGCUUCAGCCACCGCUCCACUCUUUCCGGUAACCUCCGCCGCUCUCCGAUUCGGCAAUGGAAGCGGUAACUUCUAUAGUUCCAGAUUUCAGCACUCUCCAAUUCGACAACAACAGCCACACCAACUCACUCGAAAUCGACGGCUACAAAGACCGCGUCGAUGAGCUUUUUCGCAAAGCCGACAUGCUUGAGCAGAGGGUGAAUGAAGUAGAACAAUUUUACUUGACUGUAAAUAGUAAUAGUAAAAAGACUACUUCCAAAGGUAACAACACUAGCUCAGUUGUAAAGGAUAAUAGUAAUAGUAAGGAGAGGCAGCAAGUCCCUAGCUUAAGGAGACAGCAACAGGAGGCUUCUAAACGAGAAGCUGCGGGUUCUAAGCGAAUGCAGGAGCUUAUGCGCCAAUUCGGCACCAUUUUGCGACAGAUUACGCAGCAUAAGUGGGCAUGGCCUUUUAUGCAACCUGUGGAUGUCAAAGGUCUUGGUUUACAUGACUAUUUCGAGGUUAUUGACAAGCCAAUGGACUUCAGUACCAUAAAAAAUCAAAUGGAGACUAAGGAUGGUACUGGAUAUAAGAAUGUUAGGGAGAUAUGUGCUGAUGUGAGAUUAGUUUUUAAGAAUGCAAUGAAAUAUAACGAUGAAAGAAGUGAUGUCCAUGUUAUGGCUAAAACAUUGCUGGCAAAAUUUGAAGAGAAGUGGCUACAACUUCUGCCUAGAGUCACUGAAGAGGAGAAAAGAAGAGAAACGGAGGAAGCAGAGGCGCAGUUAGAUAUGCAACUUGCUCAGGAGGCAAUUCAUGCUAAAAUUGCAAGAGAAUUAUGUAAUGAGCUUUAUGAGAUUGAUACGCAUUUGGAUGAACUCAGAGACAUGGUUGUUCAAAAGUGCAGCAAAAUGUCAACCGAAGAGAAAAGAAAGCUUGGGGCGGCUCUCACAAGGUUGUCUCCUGAAGAUCUCACUAAAGCAUUAGAGAUUGUUGCUCAAAAUAAUCCAUGUUUUCAGGCUACUGCUGAAGAGGUGGACCUUGACAUUGAUGCUCAGACCGAGUCUACUCUUUGGAGGUUAAAGUUUUUUGUGAAGGAUGCUCUGGAAGUUCAGGGAAAAAAUGCAGCGAGCGCAGGUGGAAAUAAUAAUAUCAGUAAAGCCACCACCAACAACAAUAACAUUAGCAACAAUAAGCGGAAAAAGGAGAUUUGCGAGGCAAUUGCCAAAACUGCCAAGAAAAGGAGUAAAAAAACCUCUAAUUAAUCGUACCAAGUGCGAUUCUGGGCAGGUUUCGGUUUUGAUUUAUUGCAUGUGGAUCGGUAAUCUGGGCAUCAAUUUUUACUCUCAUCCAUGAGCUAACAGGAUUUAUGAAGGGAGGCAGCAAGAAUGUUGAAAUUUUGCUAGGUCUAGUUCUAUGUACACAUGCAAGUGAUGGUACAUCCAAGAUAAGCUUUAGUCAACCCUCUGACAAGGUAUGAUCUGCGUUUCCAUGUCCUGAGUAGGCCCUGAUGACCCUUCUCGCCACCGCUGUUGCUGACGGAAACUAGGAUUUCCGCACUGGGCAUGUCUGCCGGAAACAUAGAUACUGGGGCUUGCCGGCUCUGCCGUUUUCUGAUAUUGCUAAGCUCCAUCUCUGCUGGUAUUCUUACCACACCUAUCAUGAACUUGUGCUUCUUUGAUUCACCUGGCUCGCUGCGAAAACUCCGAGUUUCACGUGGUAUCAGAGAAGCUUUUGAUCUGUACAUAUCAAAUGAGUUGGAACGGUGGCUUCCGCUUAGCAACAGAGAAUUUCCUUCAUCGUACAAAACAUUUGCGGGUUUCUCUAUAUUGCAUGACAUAAUUCUUCCACAGAAGAUGACAUUAUUCAUCAAUACAGCAUCUGUUUUUGGUUUUGCAGUUGCCGAAAACUCGAAUAAAUCUUGGUUUGAUAGACAAUGGUGUAGUUCUUGAUCAUGAUCUUGAUCGAGACAAGUAGUGAUUUCGGUUUCUUGGUCAAGUUGAAGGUCACAUAGAGAAAGAGAAUCAUCAGAGUCUUCAUCCAAUUCAUGGUGAUAGUUGAUGUUUUCCAUUUUGUGUUUGGUUGGAAAGAAAAUGAAAGAGAAAAAUAAAUUUAAGUAGAGUUGGAAGAAAAGAGAAAUGAGAAUGUUUAUUUAUGUUAUUGGUAGCAGGCUUUUCUAACAUAUAAAUAUGUUCAAUAUCAGUUGAUUUCUUCUGAUUUAA